UGCAGCUUAGCUAUUACAACCACAUUCUCUCACGUCCUGUAAUAGCUAUUCAGUGGUGGGGGUUUUAAAUUGCUAUUCAACACACACGCCGAAUACAUUUUCAGAUUUUGGGACCAAACUAGCCUGCUUUCUUCUCCCCAAAAAUCUACUCCAGAUUUCUUCCAACCUUUUUCUCCAAAUCAAGCAUCCAUCCAUCUGCCCUUCAUCUUCAUCUCCUCAAAGGUACGUUUUCUUUUUUUACUUCAAGCUCCGAUUCUAUUUCUCCUUACUUAUAACUGUUCCAGAUUUCUUGUUUGCGUUUCAAAGUUGAGACCUUUGUUUAGAUUUCUUGUCUCCGAUUCUAAUUCUUCUUUUGCGGCAUAAUUUCAGAUCCCUUGGAAGAAGGUUUUAAGCUUCGCCCCAUUGCUAGUAGAGGGCAGGUAUUAUUUCAAAUUAAUGACAGUUAGUGUUUGCUUGACUGAAGUGCUACACAUUCUGUCUGUUCUCCUGAGUUGAUAAGUUUGCUUUGUUUGCCAGUUGUCAUUAAUUCUGUUUAUGAUGGGUCACCAGUGUGAUUUAGUUUCCUUUAAAUUCUGAACUAAAAUUGGCUUUACAUGUGUAUGUGCUAGUGGUAUUUGAUGUCUCACUGUUGUAGUCUUUGUUUGGUUUAAAAUAUGAGACCCUCAGUUUUAGUUCAGUCGUUUCACGUUCUUUGUUUGAACUAUUAUCAUAUUUUGAUUCAUUUCUUAAUUUUAGCUUUCUUAUUGUACGAGUUCUUUGAUUGCUUUGAAACUGUUGUUAUCUUGGCGUAAUGAAUUCUUUGUGAAAUAAUGUGCAACUUUAAAUGCAAAUAAGAAAUCACAGCUUUUCUUAUGAUGGAAAAAAAAUCUUUUUGUUUCACAUCUGACAGAGGGACAGUCCUCCUGCUUUUGUUUUAGUAUAUAUGUGAUAUUGGCCUAUCAUUCCUUAUUCCUGCUGAGAUACUGGUUAUUCUGUUGAGAAUCAAUUAAUGGUGUAAACCUUUUUCACAGAUAAUGGGUUGAGAUCCCCUUCUCAAACUAAUAGCUGUUGACUGGUUUAAAGUUGAUACAGCCAUCGAUAAAAUUGCAUUGCAUCCAAAGUCUCUAGUUCAGGUAUUAUAUUAGGGUUUGUAUUUUGCUCCCCUUUCUUUGCAACUGUGUUUUAACAUUGUGUAAAUGAUUCGCUUUUAGCAAUUUUGCUGCAUUUGUGAUUUUUGGUUUUUAUUUUUUCAUUUACUUUGACUCAUUGUGCACAAAAGCCUUACUACUACAAUUCAGUGUUAUCCUUCUAGAUCUUUCAUUUUACAUUCUCAAAAUUUAAUGGUAAAAUGUAUAAUGUAAACAGUAGCUUCCUGUAUUCAUAAUUUUUACUGCUAUGGGUUAGCUAUUCCUAUGCUAAAGGAAUACUUUUUAUUCUGAGCAAAAUUGUAUAUAUUUUGUAGGUGUUUCUUAUAGAAUACAUUUAGCCUUACUUCUGUAGAUAAUUAAAUAAAGGGACCAGCAUUCAUCUAGCAGAAAGUCGUAUUUAGUAUGCUCGUUACUAUUUAUAACGUUUACUUUAACAGUUCUAAGUGGGGUUGUAAUAUAGUUAAACUGAGCAUAAAUAGUAGUAAGCUUGAGCUUGAUUUGGAACUUGUGGCUUGAUAUUCGGUUUUAUUAAGUAUCAUUUGCUAAGCUCGAGCUCAGCUCGAGAUAAAUUUGAACUACUUGAGCUUGACUUGAUUAGCCUUGUUUACUAAAUUUCCAUACUCAAGCUUGAUUAACCUUUUGCCUUGAAAAAAAAUUAUAAUUAAAUCUAAGAUCAUACAAUUUUUGAAAAAAAAAACUAGAUAAAAAGCAUUCCAUUUGAAAAGCAUUACAAAGAAUAAUAUGGAUGAUAGUUUAAAGAUUGUAUUUUUGAUUUCUUUGUUUCUCAGAUUCUUAAUUUUGUCGUUUUUGUCUGUAUAAAUGUGUUAGUGUAUUCUGAUAGUUUCGUGUUAUCUUCAACUCCAAGCAAAUUUCAUCAAUUCAAUCGCUCUUCAUAAUCAUCUCUAUUUAUUUGAGUUUGACUGUUUCCUUAGAAAGGAGGAAUGAAUUAGUAAUAGUUGAGUAUUCUGGGCUUUGUUUUCUUAGGGAUAAUGUGAAUAAGAGCUGUAAGAUGCCUUAGGUAUUCUUUGUUUUCUUAGAGAUACUCCAAAACUAAUGUUAGGAUUAGCAUAAGGAUUAUAGGUAACCAACUUCGAAGAAUAUGCCUAAAAAAGUCUGAAUUUCGAAGGUUUUGAAAGCUAUUUAAGCUAAGCUUUAACUGCACCUAUUAGAUGAACAGAUUCCUCUGCUCUUUCUGGUUCAUAUUAAUAUAAAGACCUGCUUCAACAAUUCUAUACAAUUUUGCUUGUUGGGAGAUGUCAUUUUCUAUGGAAGUAUAUCAGAUUGUGAGGUAAGACAUCUUCAAUUCUGCAGCCUCAUGUAAUUCUUAUACGAUCAUCAGAUUUAGAUGGCAAAUUUGACUGAGUACCCAAUGUAUUGAUUGUCAAUUUAGGAAUGAUUUUAAUAUGGCAUAUAGGGGUUGGCUGUAUAAUAUGCACAAUGCAGUUUAUUUGAUACGCUUUUGUGAUGGUAACCAGCUCCUUAAAUCCAAAUUUGGUGGUGUUUAAAGCUCUAAUCACAAGAACAAGACAUGGUUGAGGCCCGUGGGUUAUGCACACCACUACAUUUUUAAUUCAUUACUUCUGAAUUUUUUAUGUGUGUGAGUGUUUGUUGGAUACGGAUACAUGAACGAUGUAUAUAUUGGAAUUUUUUUCGGAUAGUUCUAGUAAUAAAAAACAAAAAAAGAAUCUUUUAGGACAGUGUCCAGGUUACUUAGCUUAUGACAAAUAGCUAAAAAUUGCAGGAAAGUAUAUUUAUUUGUUAGCAAACCUGGUGCCUGGUUUAGUGUUGGCUUUAUUCUCUUACUAGAAGUCUGUUGCCAAGAGAAGAAUUGGUUUGUAUUGUAUGGUUGGUUUCCAUGAAUAGUUAUUCUAAUGUUUAUAUUUAUAUACUCUUCAUAUCUCAUCUACCAAAGGUGUUAUUCUAAUGUUUGUAUUUGUAUUGUAUGGUUGGUUUCCAUAAAUAGUUAUUGUCUGAGACACAGUAGAACUACAGUCAUGAGGCAGUAAAGGAUCAUGAUUGGUUAGGUUAUUGGAGGAAAUGCGUUUUGAGGGAAAGCUUUAUUCCAAGCAGGAACAAAUGUGUAAAUCAUAUGUAAGAACAUGAGACACUUAACAUGAUUAUGUGCAGAUUAUUGUGGGAAUUGCAGUCUCUAUGUUUUAUAUCCGCAAUCACAGAUGAAAUGAGUAUUUGAUCCUCAUCAUCUGCAGAGCACUGUUGUAUAUAGAUUGUAGGGUAGUUGCCAACUUACAAAGUGAUUUGACAUUUUAAUAGAAAGUGUGUAGUAGAUUAAUUUUGAAUAUAGUGAUUUUACG
Molecule: long non-coding RNA, 3439 nt
Filed under: Gossypium barbadense (sea-island cotton)
Lineage: Eukaryota; Viridiplantae; Streptophyta; Magnoliopsida; Malvales; Malvaceae
Description: long non-coding RNA (GBAR_LNC006081)
Source: RNAcentral